Long non-coding RNA from Prunus dulcis (almond), 282 nucleotides. RefSeq lists it as uncharacterized. The record is from RefSeq and is a predicted model, not a curated record. The transcript has 4 exons. NCBI's taxonomy places the organism in Eukaryota, Viridiplantae, Streptophyta, Magnoliopsida, Rosales, Rosaceae.
ACACUUGAAAGGAAGCUCCUGAUAAUUGGAGGGGCUAUGCCAACUUAUGAUUGCAGGGGUAUGCUCUUACAAAGGAAAGGGACACGCUUCGGCGGGAGCAGAAUAAGAAAAGUGAUGCAGCUGCUCUUCUGAAGGAAAAGGAUGAAAUAAUUAAUCAAGUUAUGGCUGAAGGUGAAGAGCUUUCAAAAAAGCAGGCUGCUCAAGAAGGACAGAUUAGGAAAUUAAGGGCUCAGAUCAGAGAGUUUGAAGAAGAGAAGAAAGGGUUGAUUACUAAACUUCAGG